GACGAACGCUGGCGGCGUGCCUAAUACAUGCAAGUUGAGCGAUGAAGAUUGGUGCUUGCACCAAUUUGAAGAGCAGCGAACGGGUGAGUAACGCGUGGGGAAUCUGCCUUUGAGCGGGGGACAACAUUUGGAAACGAAUGCUAAUACCGCAUAAAAACUUUAAACAUAAGUUUUAAGUUUGAAAGAUGCAAUUGCAUCACUCAAAGAUGAUCCCGCGUUGUAUUAGCUAGUUGGUGAGGUAAAGGCUCACCAAGGCGAUGAUACAUAGCCGACCUGAGAGGGUGAUCGGCCACAUUGGGACUGAGACACGGCCCAAACUCCUACGGGAGGCAGCAGUAGGGAAUCUUCGGCAAUGGACGAAAGUCUGACCGAGCAACGCCGCGGGAGUGAAGAAGGUUUUCGGAUCGUAAAACUCUGUUGGUAGAGAAGAACGUUGGUGAGAGUGGAAAGCUCAUCAAGUGACGGUAACUACCCAGAAAGGGACGGCUAACUACGUG
RNAcentral lists this ribosomal RNA (497 nucleotides) under uncultured bacterium. RNAcentral's name for it is "partial 16S ribosomal RNA". It matches the Rfam family "Bacterial small subunit ribosomal RNA", at positions 28 to 507 of the family's 1533-position model. The record is from RNAcentral.